This 633-nucleotide long non-coding RNA is filed under the name Heterocephalus glaber (naked mole-rat). Its description in RNAcentral is "lncRNA (ENSHGLG00100048303.1)". The record is from RNAcentral. Lineage: Eukaryota; Metazoa; Chordata; Mammalia; Rodentia; Bathyergidae.
GAACUUCUCGCGAGCUCCCACGAGAUGUGGACGACAUAAAGGAAGUCCGGACGCCCUGGGAACCUCGCUGUGGUGAAUUCCCAUAUCCUUCGUUGUGUUUCUCAGACGCAGCGUGUACUUUUAUUUUUGCUUUUAUCUUCUUUUUCUCCUGUUCUGCCCACGUUCUCUCUGCAGAGCAAGAAGGACCUGGACUACUUUGGAUUGGCGAACCAUUGCUAAAGGAACUACCAGACAACAGAGGCACUGAACAGAUACUAUUUGCCAGAAAGAUUUCACCUCUUUGAGUACUGAAGACUUUCGUUUCAUAAGAUUAAAUUUAAUGCCAGAAUUCUUUACUGGAACUGGAGGAAAAAGAGAUGCACAUCAGGAAACAGCUGAUAAUGUGAAUCUGGAGUAUGAUCCAACAAGAGCAAGGGUUUGCCUUUAACCAAGUCAGAAAGGACCCAGUCUUUGUGAAAACAUCAUUAUGGUAACAACUUGAAAAUAAGCGGUCUUUGCAUUUGAAAUUCAGUGUGAUGCCUGCUGGGGAACUGCAAAGGGCUCUCCCAGCCCCAGCUCUGUUCCAACAGCAAGGCUGAUAGAGUCAAUUUCAGGCUGCAUCUGAGGCUAUAGAUUGAGAAGAUUUCCCCAAAC